GCCUAAGCAACAGCAUGUUAAUGUCGAAUCCUCUGUCGAUCGCCCGUUUGGGACUUUUUUUGUGUAUCUUGGGCUUGGUGGGGGCGUGCAUGCCCAUUGGUGGAAGGUGCCAUGUCGGCAAGGUGUGCUGCUCUCGGCGCUGCCACUUCUACGCUCACAAGUGUGUCACCGAAAGAGAUGUCGCACAAUACGAAGAAUAAUGAUAGAUUUGAUUACAUUUGAUCACUAAAGCUAAAAAAUGAAAUAAAGUAUCGCAAAUCCGAA
Molecule: long non-coding RNA, 264 nt
Organism: Drosophila persimilis
Lineage: Eukaryota; Metazoa; Arthropoda; Insecta; Diptera; Drosophilidae
Exons: 2
Source: RefSeq, a predicted model, not a curated record